AUUGAACGCUGGCGGCAGGCCUAACACAUGCAAGUCGAACGGUAACAGGAAGAAGCUUGCUUCUUUGCUGACGAGUGGCGGACGGGUGAGUAAUGUCUGGGAAACUGCCUGAUGGAGGGGGAUAACUACUGGAAACGGUAGCUAAUACCGCAUAACGUCGCAAGACCAAAGAGGGGGACCUUCGGGCCUCUUGCCAUCGGAUGUGCCCAGAUGGGAUUAGCUAGUAGGUGGGGUAACGGCUCACCUAGGCGACGAUCCCUAGCUGGUCUGAGAGGAUGACCAGCCACACUGGAACUAAGACACGGUCCAGACUCCUACGGGAGGCAGCAGUGGGGAAUAUUGCACAAUGGGCGCAAGCCUGAUGCAGCCAUGCCGCGUGUAUGAAGAAGGCCUUCGGGUUGUAAAGUACUUUCAGCGGGGAGGAAGGGAGUAAAGUUAAUACCUUGACUCAUUGACGUUACCCGCAGAAGAAGCACCGGCUAACUCCGUG
Molecule: ribosomal RNA, 490 nt
Filed under: uncultured bacterium
Lineage: Bacteria
Description: partial 16S ribosomal RNA
Rfam family: Bacterial small subunit ribosomal RNA
Source: RNAcentral